Hemicordylus capensis (graceful crag lizard) is the source of this 1334-nucleotide long non-coding RNA. RefSeq lists it as uncharacterized. NCBI's taxonomy places the organism in Eukaryota, Metazoa, Chordata, Lepidosauria, Squamata, Cordylidae. The transcript has 2 exons. The record is from RefSeq and is a predicted model, not a curated record.
CUCACAGCAACCCUGUGGAGUAGGUUAGACUGAGAGAUAAGUGACUGGCCCAGAGUCACCCACAGGCGCGUAACAAUGAUAGGGCAAGGGGAGACAGUUGUCUGGGGGCCCCACUGCCUGGAGGGGCACCCCAGAGGCACCUCAUGUGACUCCCCAUUGCCCCCUGCCCAGCCCCAAGGCUCCUCAGCCACUUGCCCUGUUCGCCGUCUCUCCAGCUUGUUCUCCUGGCCGGCAAUCGAGGGAGCAGACAAGCUGCCAAGAGCUCCUUUUCUCCCGCCUCUCAGCUGAUCGGCGGGUGGGCGGGGCUUCCACGGAGGCCUCCGUGUAGGCCGCAGUGAAGCCUGAACUCGAGUAGGGCCCAAGCCAGCCAGGAAGGAGGAGGUAGCCAGAGUGGCCAGCACUGCUCUCUGCAGCAGAAGACUCCUUGCUGCCCUGCUUAACCCAGACCAGCAUUUGCCAGGUGGUACAUGGCAAGCCCUACCUUCGCAGUGUCAAACCAAUCAGCAGCCAGCAGGGAAUGACAUCCAAUUGGGGCAUGCGGGCGUGGGACUACCAAGGCCCUGGCAGCGAGAUCCCUUUGCCGUGGCGACGCUCUGCACCGCAGCCCCCUCUCCUCCUGGCUCCCGCUCCAGCCCACCUUGAAGUGCUCCAAGGGGAACAGUGGCAUCACAGCAGUGGUCGAGGCUGGCUCCAACCGCUGACCUCCGUCACGUCGCCAACUCUCCUUGUGAGGAUGGCUGAGCUGGAGCUUCCAUCUGGCCUGCACAGACAGCCCUUGGUGUGCUCUCCCACCAGGGCUGCCUCCGGAGCCAAGGAGCACCUCCCAGCCUGCGCACCCACCAGAAGGAGGAGCAGGAAGAGGAGUGAGGCUCGAGUGAGGAGGUCUCUGGGGUGAGGGGGCUGUGGGGGUGGGUGUGAAGGGAGCAAUCAAGUACUCGUUUAGAUACUCUGCAUGAGCCAAGCUAGUAAAAUAUAAAAGUACUAGUUUAGAUAGAAGCAAAAAAAAUGUAGAAUAGUAUUUAAUUUAUUGACAACAUUUUUUACCCUUGCCUAUCCAAGUGGGUGUCUAAUAUCAAAAACAAAAAAAUGGAUAUGUGUUUUAUAUAAUGUCACACUGAGCUGUGAGAUUCACUAUUGCCACAUGUAGAUGUUGCUUUUUCUUUUUUUUAAGAGAGAGACAGACUAGACAAGAUGAGAAUAUCAGCAGCUAUUAAUUCAGUAACAGUAAUGGGUCUUCUUGAUUUGAUAUGAAUAAGGCUUAAGCUACUGCAAGUUAACUAAAUAGCAAGGAAUGGUGUACACCUCAAUGGAAAUAAAUAUUAUUUAUUUAUUUA